CAGGACGUGGCCGAGUCAGUCAAGCAUCUCACUUACACCCGAGAAGACAUCCAUGCAAGUUGGAUCGUCCUGA
RNAcentral lists this transfer RNA (73 nucleotides) under Acrossocheilus beijiangensis. Its description in RNAcentral is "tRNA-Val". It matches the Rfam family "tRNA". From Rfam's summary of the family: Transfer RNA (tRNA) molecules are approximately 80 nucleotides in length. Their secondary structure includes four short double-helical elements and three loops (D, anti-codon, and T loops). Lineage: Eukaryota; Metazoa; Chordata; Actinopteri; Cypriniformes; Cyprinidae. The record is from RNAcentral.